Molecule: long non-coding RNA, 515 nt
Organism: Rhipicephalus sanguineus (brown dog tick)
Lineage: Eukaryota; Metazoa; Arthropoda; Arachnida; Ixodida; Ixodidae
Exons: 2
Source: RefSeq, a predicted model, not a curated record
AAAAGUAAAGGCCGAACUUCAACGCAUGGAGGAGCACAACGUCAUAACCAAGGAGCAAGUUCGCUACUUGGGACACGUUUUCACCACGCAAGGACUGAGCCUGGGACCCGAUCGCGUCCAAGCCAUUUUGGACAUGCCAGCGCCAAGUAACAGUAAGGAAUUGAAGUCUUCCUCGGAACGAUGAAUUACGUGCAGCGCUUCAUUCCUCGAAUGUCUGUACUCACCGCACCACUUAGAACAUUGCUGCGCAAAGAUAUUGCCUGGGUCUGGACAGAAAAAGAGCAAUGCAGCUUCAAUGAGCUGCGCCAAGCCUUAGUAACAGCGCCAGUGCUUGCUUACUUCGAUCCGAAAAAGCCAGUCACCCUCUCUGUUGACGCCAGCCACAUGGGCGUUGGCGCCGUUCUGAUACAAGACGGCCGCCCUAUCGCUUUCUCGUCUAGAUCGCUCAGCGAUGCUCAAACGAGGUACGCGCAGAUCGAAAAGGAAGCUCUGGCGAUUGUGCAUGGCUGCGAAAA